CAUAUACUCCCUCCGUCCCAAAAUUCUUGUCUUAGAUUUGUUUAGAUAUAAAUGUAUAUAGUCAAGUUUUGGUAUUUUGAUACAUCCAUUUCUACACAAAGUUAAGAUAAGAAUUUUAGUACGAAGGGAGUAUGUU
Molecule: microRNA precursor, 136 nt
Filed under: Hordeum vulgare
Lineage: Eukaryota; Viridiplantae; Streptophyta; Magnoliopsida; Poales; Poaceae
Description: microRNA MIR1122
Rfam family: MIR1120/MIR1122 microRNA precursor family
Source: RNAcentral